This is a long non-coding RNA of Orcinus orca (killer whale), 3916 nucleotides long. RefSeq lists it as uncharacterized. The transcript has 7 exons. The record is from RefSeq and is a predicted model, not a curated record. NCBI's taxonomy places the organism in Eukaryota, Metazoa, Chordata, Mammalia, Artiodactyla, Delphinidae.
CUUUAGGGGCCUUGGAAGCCACGCUAAGGGUUGGACUUCACUCUGCAGGCACCAGGCAGCCAUUUAAACAUCUUGUCUAGGAUGGGAACAGAUUUACUUUUGGGAAAGAUCUUUGGCCAGCAGUAUGAAGAUGGACGGAUGCGGAGGCUGUGGCAGUGAUGCAGAUGAGGUACCUGAGCCUCUGGAACUUUCUGGAAUGAGCAGAAACAAGCAGCCUGCAUCCUGAGCCACACGCCUCAAUGACACUUCACUUUGAAAGCACCCCUGGCCAUUUGAGCAGAGAGGAGGAUGUGAAAAGAGCCCCGGACACCUAGACAGAUGAGGACACUGAGGCUCAGAGAGUUUAAAUGACUUUCUCAAGGAUACACGAGUGGGAAGCAGUUGUGUUGGAAUAGAAACCAAGGCUUCACUGACAGCAGUACUUGUGCUGUAUAAUCUACCUGCCUCUUAAGCACCCAACAGGCACCUUUGCCCCAGCUGUACUCCACAGUGUCUUCCCAACUCAAGGGCCCCCAAGGCAGGUCAGCUGCACCUGAAACAGCAGAAUGUGGCAGUUCACUCAGGCCCCUGGAGGUGGACCUCAGCACGUGCGCUGCAUUGAUGGGGAAGGACACAGCCCAGAGUGAACAACAUGAGAAAAGUUACAAUAGAGGAAAAAUACAGGACAGACUCUGGUGACAGGGAGCAAACCACCUCAUGUGAAGCCACUGAGAGAAGCAGAUGACGAGCGCUCGCCAGGUGCUGGGGGGACACACGGUGGCUACCCUGGAGAAGCCUGCUGAGGCUUCAGGCAGGCAGAGUGCAGACUGGCGGCUGCAGCCCUGGCCAGAGGUGCAGCGAAGGCAUUUGAGAGCAGGCCGCCCACAGGAUGUUGGAAACCACAGGGACCAGGCUUUGCCUUGCGGGCGGCAGCUGUGGUGAAGGUGAUGCACUGGGUGUCCAGGAAGUCCAGCAGCUUCCCCGUGGCCACAUGGAUGCCUUGAUGCUUCAGCUCGGCCUGUAGCUCUGCCAGCUCCAAGGGCUGGUACAGCAGGACCUUGCGGUAGAGGGCUGGCUUGGAGCAGAUAUAAUGCCUCACGGCCUCCUCUGUGGCCGCUACCUGGAUGGCCGCCUGUGAAGCACUGACACCCUCCUCGUCCUCCUCAUCUUCUCCUGCAGACUCCAAGGCCGCUCCAAAGUCACAGGAAGAACUGAAAAGAACCAGACAAUAACACCUAGCAACACCCCUUCUUUCCGGCCUCCACCCCGAGACCAGGAGCCUCUUUGAGGGAAGGAGUGUGUUUCUUUGUCCCCUGCGGAGCCCGGCACAUGGACGACCCCCAGGGCAGUAGGAAGCCCCAGGCUGCUGUGUCCCUGGCACUCUAGCUGCAGGCCUGAGCGGGAUUGCACCCUCAGCCAGAAUCUAAUGCCGAGGGCAGCUGUGCUAGGCUGGCCCUGCUUGUGAGAGAGGAUGUGGCCCUGUCCUUCCAUCUGGUUACCUUUGUGAGCUGCAGGAGCUGUCACUGCUGUCUACAGAGGUGGCCAUGGAUUCCUGGGAGGCCGGUAGCUGGGUGUCACCAUCAGGGCCUGGAGGGCCCUCCUUGGCUGGUGACGUGCUCAGGGCAGGGACCCUUCCACCAGGCUGUGUCUUUUGAUGUUGGGGGCCCUUGGUCUUAGCAGGUCCCUUGGACCUUUGGGGAACGGAGCCAGAAGUGGCCUCCAGCUGGGUGCGGCCAGCUGCCCUUGAAGGCUUAGAGGUCUUGGUGGUGUAAGUCUGGCUGCAAGGAGCCUCCAAGGGCACCUGUGAGGACUGGCUCUCUUCCUCAGAGUCUGACUCCAGUAUCUGGUGAGUGUACUGGAAUAUCUCCUUCAGUUUCAGGACCAUUUGGCGUUUGGGCAGAGGGCGGACCCCAAACCUGAAUGGGAAAACAGAUGAACGUCAGCAAAGAGCAAACAGCACGAGGGCCCUGGAUUUGCCUCUUCUGACCCUGAUAGUGUCACUUAGAGAAGUGCUGCCCUCGCUCCAGGACAGCAGGGAUGUCCACCCUUCACUGUUUGACUCUGGAGUCACAUCUUCCCAUUGGAAAGCAUCACACAGCACGCGGUGAGGGCCACGGGCUUAUGUGGUGCUGAUGCUGUGAAGAGCUCGAAAGCAGGUAGGCAGUUGCCAGGGGCUGGGGUGAAGGGGCAGUGGGGCGACUGCUAAUGGGAUGGGAUUUAUUUUGGGGUGAUGAAAACAUCCUGGAAUUAGACAGUUGUAGAAUACUGUACUAAAAAGCCAUUGAAUAGUACAUUUGAAAGGGUGAAUUUUAUGAUAUGUGAAUAACAUCUCAAUAAUGCUGUUAUUAAAAAAAAUCAGUAUUUUAAAGACAACUUAGGGACAACUUAAGUACAUCUGGACUUUGGUUCUUAUCCUGUUUAUGAGCAUGGAGUCCUUUGAGAUGCCAAUGAAAACAACAGGAUCUGUCUUGUGAAAAAUGCACAAGAUUCUUUAUAUCAUUUCAGAGUUUGUGACCCUCAUGAAUCUCCCCUCAGAUUCUGACUAAGGUCCCCUGGUCUCAGGUCUCCUGCAGCGGUUCUCACACACCACCUCGGAACCUGUUAGAAAUGCAAAAUCUUGGUUACACAGCAGACCUCCUGAAGCAGCAGCUCUGGGGUAGAGACCGGCCACGUGUGUUUUAAGAAGCUCUGCAGGCAAUUCUGACGCCCACUCAAGGCUGAAAGCACUGGUUAGUGAUGCCCAGCUGGUCUAAGAUUUUAGGGGGACAUGAAAUAGCAGGACACAGGCAGAUGCUCUGUCCAUAGGCUCUGCUUCCCUGUCACCAGUCACGGCUCAGUGUCGCCUGGUCCCUUCCCAGACUCUCCCUGGAUCAGUCCAGCUGGAGGGGAUAGCGGUGGGGCAGCAGCACCUCAAGGGGCCGACACCAACACCGGGGGCCUUGAUUUUCCCCUGUGACUGAAAUGAGCUGGGAAGUGGGGUCCCUCCACCAGUGGGGCCGAUAAGGCUCACAGCAGACCUCCCACACUCACCCCAUCUGGUCUUUUAAUUGAGAUGAAAUUCACGUAACAAAAUUUUAAAGUGAACAGUAGCACUUAGCACAUUCAGUGUUGUGCAACCACCACAUCUUUCUAGUUCUAAAACAUUUCAUCCCCCAAAGAAAGUUCCAUGCUCGUCACUCCCUGUUCUCCUCCCCCCAAGCCCCUGGUGAUCACUCAUCUACUUUCUGUCUCUAUGGCUUUGUCCAUCUGAAUGUUUCAUAUAAAAGGAAUCAUAUAAUACGUGGUGGCCUUUUGUGUCUGGCUUCUUUCACUGAGCAGCAUGUUUUCAAGGUUCAUUCUGCUGUAUCUGUGUCAGUGCUUUAUUCCUUCAUAUGGCUGAAUAAUAUUCCACUGUAUGUAUGUAUGGACCACAUUUCUUUAUCCACUUAUCAGCUGAUGGACAUUUGGGUUGUUUCCACCUUUUGGCUGUUGUGAAUAUUGCUGCUGUGAACAUUUGUAUACAGGAGUCCUGACCUCAAAACCUUUGAAUGUAUACGUGGGAGUGGAAUUGCCUGGUGGUAAUGGCAAUUCUGUGUUUGACUACUUGAGGAACCACACGUUUGCUCUUAAGGUGCACCUGAGGUGCCUAUCACAGCCUCUCGGGAGGUGCUGGUCCACUAUUCUGGAGCGGAGCCACAGACAGGGAUCUUGAACAAGUACCCAGGCGAGCCACAGGAUCCAGGCAGGUUUAGGAAGCCCUGACUUACUGGCUAAGGAGUAUAUGUUUGACAGCAGGCCGAUCCUCCCCAACCGUGGAGUGGGGUCAGGCAGGCAAGGGGAGGGCUGGCCACGGGUCAGCAGGCCCUUUAGUAUCACUGCCCCGCGCUGUCAUUACGACCCUCCACGCCCCUUAGUGUAAAACAGUGUAAAAGACAACACCCUCCCAUUACUCACUUGG